This 362-nucleotide ribosomal RNA is filed under the name Trogoderma anthrenoides. RNAcentral describes it as "partial 16S ribosomal RNA". Lineage: Eukaryota; Metazoa; Arthropoda; Insecta; Coleoptera; Dermestidae. The record is from RNAcentral.
CUGAGUUUUAAAGAGCCGCAGUAUUUUGACUGUGCGAAGGUAGCAUAAUAAUUAGUUUCUUUAUUGGGAACUGGUAUGAAUGGUUGGACGAGAAAAUGACUGUCUCUUUCUGAUUGGGAUUGAAUUUUACUUUUAAGUUAAAAGGCUUAAAUUUUUUUGAAAGACGAGAAGACCCUAUAGAGUUUUAUUUUUAGAUUUUUAUUAAUUUUAGGUAUUUAAUAUUUUAUGAAUUUUGAAAAUUUGAUUGGGGUGAUUGAAAAAUUGAUUAAACUUUUUUUUUAUUUUUACAAAUUUAAUUGAGUAUGUGAUCCAUAUUUUGUGAUUAUAAGAUUAAAUUACCUUAGGGAUAACAGCGUAAUCUU